RNAcentral lists this ribosomal RNA (739 nucleotides) under Tolypocladium sp. RG-2013a. Its description in RNAcentral is "eukaryotic LSU rRNA". It matches the Rfam family "Eukaryotic large subunit ribosomal RNA", at positions 137 to 905 of the family's 3401-position model. The record is from RNAcentral. Lineage: Eukaryota; Fungi; Ascomycota; Sordariomycetes; Hypocreales; Ophiocordycipitaceae.
CCCGAGUUGUAAUUUGCAGAGGAUGCUUUUGGCGCGGUGCCUUCCGAGUUCCCUGGAACGGGACGCCAUAGAGGGUGAGAGCCCCGUCUGGUCGGACACCAAGNCAGUGUAAAGCUCCUUCGACGAGUCGAGUAGUUUGGGAAUGCUGCUCUAAAUGGGAGGUAUAUGUCUUCUAAAGCUAAAUACCGGCCAGAGACCGAUAGCGCACAAGUAGAGUGAUCGAAAGAUGAAAAGCACUUUGAAAAGAGGGUUAAACAGUACGUGAAAUUGUUGAAAGGGAAGCGUUCAUGACCAGACUUGGGCCCGGUGAAUCAUCCAGCGUUCUCGCUGGUGCACUUCGCCGGGCCCAGGCCAGCAUCAGUUCGCCGCGGGGGAUAAAAGCUUCGGGAACGUGGCUCCCUCGGGAGUGUUAUAGCCCGUUGCACAAUACCCUGCGGUGGACUGAGGUCCGCGCUCCGCAAGGAUGCUGGCGUAAUGGUCAUCAGCGACCCGUCUUGAAACACGGACCAAGGAGUCGUCUUCGUAUGCGAGUGUUCGGGUGUCAAACCCCUACGCGUAAUGAAAGUGAACGCAGGUGAGAGCUUCGGCGCAUCAUCGACCGAUCCUGAUGUUCUCGGAUGGAUUUGAGUAAGAGCAUACGGGGCCGGACCCGAAAGAAGGUGAACUAUGCCUGUAUAGGGUGAANCCAGAGGAAACUCUGGUGGAGGCUCGCAGCGGUUCUGACGUGCAAAUCGAUCGU